This 253-nucleotide ribosomal RNA is filed under the name uncultured bacterium. Its description in RNAcentral is "partial 16S ribosomal RNA". It matches the Rfam family "Bacterial small subunit ribosomal RNA", at positions 524 to 776 of the family's 1533-position model. The record is from RNAcentral.
UACGGAGGAUCCAAGCGUUAUCCGGAUUUAUUGGGUUUAAAGGGUGCGUAGGUGGGAUAAUAAGUCAGGGGUGAAAGCUAGCAGCUUAACUGUUAAAUUGCCUUUGAUACUGUUAUUCUUGAGUAUAGUUGGCGUUGGCGGAAUGUGACAUGUAGCGGUGAAAUGCGUAGAUAUGUCACAGAACACCGAUCGCGAAGGCAGCUAACGAAACUAUCACUGACACUGAUGCACGAAAGCGUGGGGAGCAAACAGG